This 497-nucleotide ribosomal RNA is filed under the name uncultured bacterium. RNAcentral's name for it is "partial 16S ribosomal RNA". It matches the Rfam family "Bacterial small subunit ribosomal RNA", at positions 28 to 507 of the family's 1533-position model. The record is from RNAcentral.
GAUGAACGCUGGCGGCGUGCCUAAUACAUGCAAGUCGAGCGAACGGACGAGAAGCUUGCUUCUCUGAUGUUAGCGGCUGACGGGUGAGUAACACGUGGAUAACCUACUUAUAAUACUGGGAUAACUUCGGGAAGCCGUAUCUAAUACCGGAUAAUAUUUUGAACCGCAUGGUUCAAAAGUGAAAGACGGUCUUGCUGUCACUUAUAGAUGGAUCCGCGUUGCAUUAGCUAGUUGGUAAGGUAACGGCUUACCAAGGCAACGAUGCAUAGCCGACCUGAGAGGAUGAUCGGCCACACUGGAACUGAGACACGGUCCAGACUCCUACGGGAGGCAGCAGUAGGGAAUCUUCGGCAAUGGGCGAAAGCCUGACGGAGCAACGCCGCGUGAGUGAAGAAGGUCUUCGGAUCGUAAAGCCCUGUUAUUAGGGAAGAAAAGAUGUAUAAGUAAAUGCGGCCAUCUUGACGGUACCUAAUCAGAAAGCCACGGCUAACUACGUG